CACUGUCUUAUUGAACGCGAGGUUUCUCACAAGAGCUACGUGAGAGAAAAGAAACCACCAGAAAAAGGGCGGAAAGAUUUGAGAGCCGAGAUGUUUGGAGAGUUUGGAGGACCUUGGAGCAUUGAUUUCUCGAAUUAAACCAAAAAAUUUUGUUAGGAAUGGAGGAGGAGCACAAGGAAUCAGUGACGGGACCAGAUGGAGUUGUGCAAGAAUGGCUGUGGAUCUUGAUUCUUAUUGUUCAUCAAAUUUGACAUUUUGUGAUUUAUUUUUUUGGAAUCAAUCAGUCAUUUCUUUUGGUAGUUUGGAGUCUUGACUGAAAGUUGAAAACACCUGUCAGGAUUCCUGGAUGGCAAGAUUUCCUGGAUAACUAUGCAAGUUUUUUGGUAUGGGCCGUAUGGCAGGUCUAAAAGAGUUAUCAACUCCAUUAGGUUAUUAGAUGUUUUUAUUUUAUUUAUAUAUCAUGGAUGAUGUGUGGCAGCACUGCUCCUAGAUAUGUGCCACAGCUUUCUAAUAUAUUUUCCUUUAUUAGUUCUCUAGCUUUUUUUCAGCAUUUUUUUCCUUUCUGUGCUCGUCCAAAGAACUUUUUGCUGGAUCAUAUUCACUCCAUUCUUGGCCUCGAGUUGCUCUGGAUUUGUUUCAUCGUAUUAUAUCAAUUAAAGCUGAGGGAAACAUUACAAAAACCUGAAUUGUGGUCUGAGCAUAGUUUACCUUUUCAUUCUUUUUUUAAGUGCUACUUUUGUUUGCAUGCUUAUAUGAUUAUCAGUAAUUUGCCCACAUAUCAUUAGUGUGUUUGUGAGAUCUCAUUAGAUAAGUAUACAACGGUGCACACGCUUUGAAAUACAUUUUGAAUACUUUGAUACAUUUAGCUUUUUCACUCAUUUUGACAAACAUACUGCUCUUGAGUUGGGAGGUUUCUUUUCUUUAACUUGAUUUAUCGGGAUGGAGGGGAGGAGCAGGAGUUGAUAGAGGAGAAAUAUUGUACAUUUGAUUUUCUAACUGAGCUUGAAGGAAAAAAUUCAUGCUCAGAUUAUGAACUUAAAACCUUUCCACAGGCUCAAUUCAUUUCAUCCCAAUUUAAUUGUCACUUUAUUUAUCACACUAGAUAUUAAUUGUUUUUACAUUUUUGUUCAUUUGAGAAUCGAAGAAUGCAAUUUUUGGAAUUACUUCUUAUCAUGUAAUUGUUCUCAUCAAGUUUGUUUGCCAGUCAAUUCAUUUGCAUUGUGAGCCAAAUGAUAUUUGGACUGACUAACAUUAGUUUGGGCAUCUACACUGUUCUUUCUAAUUAUUGAAUGUUAUACAGGUUUUUGUCAUGAGUCAAAAUGUUAUUGGUUAAUACCAAUAAACUUCAAAACAACUCACAUCACCAUGUUGUGCAACAUCAAAUUCACCAAAAUACAGAGAUCAUUGAUAAGUACAUAGAGACCACAGGAAGUAAAUCAGUCAAGCCAAAGCAAUAAGAGAUAUGCACUGGCAACCAUUGGGAUCAUCUGACAAUUGUAUGCUGUAAUGAAGAUAAGGACAAAGCCACCAAAGACUGUUUACUUGCAUGGGUACCAGUAGAGUGGGCAUAGCGCUUUCAGUCCUCUUGGAGCGUGAGUGUUCAUAAGCAACAAAAGAAAGCUGCAGAAGAGCAGCUGCUUUAAGGGGCACUGUGGUAUCUCAAUCAUCUUGGCUACUCACCAUAAAGCCCCUUGGCAUCAAUUGCAAAACUUGGUUACAGAAACAAAAGCUAGUCAUUAGUUGAAAUUAUUCAGUCAACUCGUCAGAAAGAAGCUUGUUAUUAGAGGAAAUUAUUCAGUCAACUCUUCAGAAAGAAGCUCAGUUAAUAGGCUACGAUGAAAAAUGCUUGAUGAUUGACUGCAGUGGUGGAGAGAAUUUAGUCAUUCCCAUUGUGAGCAGCCAAAGCUGUCCUGGAGUUCUUCAGGAAUCUUCUGCCCAUACCAAUAAACUUCAAAACAACUCACAUGAUUUAGUUAUAUAAUAUCAGGCUCUCCAAAAUAAAGAGAUCAAGCCACACUGUGUUUUGGUGAAUCUGUUGUUGUACAAAUGAGAUCAUGUGAGUUGUUUUGAAUUUUAUCGGUAUGAGCAGAAGACCGUCCUGAAGACCUCCGUGUCUCGGUAUUUUACUGACUGAUGUUCUUUUCUGUAACCUUUUAAAAAAAAGAGAUUUUGAGAUCAUAAGUAAAUUUUUCAGGGACUUGAUAA
Dioscorea cayenensis subsp. rotundata (Guinea yam) is the source of this 2205-nucleotide long non-coding RNA. RefSeq lists it as uncharacterized. The transcript has 6 exons. The record is from RefSeq and is a predicted model, not a curated record. Lineage: Eukaryota; Viridiplantae; Streptophyta; Magnoliopsida; Dioscoreales; Dioscoreaceae.